AUUCUCUGUGAAGAAACUAUUUUUAUGAUGUCAUUUCCCUUAAUGUCAUCUCUUUUACAGAAAGAAGAGUCAGCCAUCAUACUUGUGAAAAUGGUAUUACUGGGAUUGCUAAAUGAUACUAAUGCCAGAGGAGAUGCUGUAGGAGAGCCACCAUUGCCAGCUGUACGUUCACACUGAUUUGGCAGUCUUUAGAUGCUUUCAGUACCCUGGCAAAGCUUUUCUGGUGUUUCUGGAGGAUACGCAUCAUAAUGACAGGAAAAUAAGCCAGAACAAUUUAAGGUAAGAGCUGUGCUGUGACAGGCGGUAAGUAUGAAAGAGAGAUGUAAUAUUCCUCUUUC
This 338-nucleotide long non-coding RNA is filed under the name Anser brachyrhynchus (Pink-footed goose). RNAcentral describes it as "lncRNA (ENSABRG00000012865.1)". Lineage: Eukaryota; Metazoa; Chordata; Aves; Anseriformes; Anatidae. The record is from RNAcentral.